GAAUGUGAAGGUGAUCUGACUGAGACAUCUGCCACCCCAUUGAUCACCAGAGUUGAUUUGGCUGAUCUGGUUGGCUAAACAGGUGUUCCCUUCCUCCUUCACUGCUCCAUGUAUAUCCCUCCCCAAGCUGCACACUCAGUCAAAGAGGAUGACCAUUCCCUGUAGAGGAGGAUUGUUUUCUUAUUCUAGGGUAUCCGAGUAGCCGCUCUCCCUUGUUAGAACUUACAAACAAGCUCUCAAGAAUACUUGCCCAAAGUAAUAUAAUAGGAAGAACAAGGUCUUGAAUCCAGGACACAGCUAAUAAUCUUU
RNAcentral lists this small nuclear RNA (309 nucleotides) under Heterocephalus glaber (naked mole-rat). RNAcentral's name for it is "7SK RNA". It matches the Rfam family "7SK RNA". Rfam says of the family: 7SK was discovered as an abundant small nuclear RNA in the mid-70s but a possible function has only recently been suggested. Two independent studies have found that 7SK RNA binds the CDK9/cyclin T complex (known as elongation factor P-TEFb). P-TEFb activates transcription by phosphorylating the C-terminal domain of RNA polymerase II. Lineage: Eukaryota; Metazoa; Chordata; Mammalia; Rodentia; Bathyergidae. The record is from Rfam by way of RNAcentral.